RNAcentral lists this ribosomal RNA (115 nucleotides) under Diaphorina citri (Asian citrus psyllid). The record is from RNAcentral. Lineage: Eukaryota; Metazoa; Arthropoda; Insecta; Hemiptera; Psyllidae.
GGAUACGGUGUUGGCCCGUUGAAUACACCAGUUUCCAAUGGAUCAUUGAACAGCUACGUUGCGCGUGGUUAGUAUCUGGAUGGGUGACCAUCUGGGCAAUUGCGCUCUGCUUGCU